Molecule: ribosomal RNA, 2773 nt
Filed under: Escherichia coli
Lineage: Bacteria; Pseudomonadati; Pseudomonadota; Gammaproteobacteria; Enterobacterales; Enterobacteriaceae
Description: bacterial LSU rRNA
Rfam family: Bacterial large subunit ribosomal RNA
Source: RNAcentral
AGCGUACACGGUGGAUGCCCUGGCAGUCAGAGGCGAUGAAGGACGUGCUAAUCUGCGAUAAGCGUCGGUGAGGUGAUAUGAACCGUUAUAACCGGCGAUUUCCGAAUGGGGAAACCCAGUGUGUUUCGACACACUAUCAUUAACUGAAUCCAUAGGUUAAUGAGGCGAACCGGGGGAACUGAAACAUCUAAGUACCCCGAGGAAAAGAAAUCAACCGAGAUUCCCCCAGUAGCGGCGAGCGAACGGGGAGGAGCCCAGAGCCUGAAUCAGUGUGUGUGUUAGUGGAAGCGUCUGGAAAGGCGCGCGAUACAGGGUGACAGCCCCGUACACAAAAAUGCACAUAUUGUGAGCUCGAUGAGUAGGGCGGGACACGUGGUAUCCUGUCUGAAUAUGGGGGGACCAUCCUCCAAGGCUAAAUACUCCUGACUGACCGAUAGUGAACCAGUACCGUGAGGGAAAGGCGAAAAGAACCCCGGCGAGGGGAGUGAAAAAGAACCUGAAACCGUGUACGUACAAGCAGUGGGAGCCUCUUAAUGGGGUGACUGCGUACCUUUUGUAUAAUGGGUCAGCGACUUAUAUUCUGUAGCAAGGUUAACCGAAUAGGGGAGCCGAAGGGAAACCGAGUCUUAACUGGGCGUUAAGUUGCAGGGUAUAGACCCGAAACCCGGUGAUCUAGCCAUGGGCAGGUUGAAGGUUGGGUAACACUAACUGGAGGACCGAACCGACUAAUGUUGAAAAAUUAGCGGAUGACUUGUGGCUGGGGGUGAAAGGCCAAUCAAACCGGGAGAUAGCUGGUUCUCCCCGAAAGCUAUUUAGGUAGCGCCUCGUGAAUUCAUCUCCGGGGGUAGAGCACUGUUUCGGCAAGGGGGUCAUCCCGACUUACCAACCCGAUGCAAACUGCGAAUACCGGAGAAUGUUAUCACGGGAGACACACGGCGGGUGCUAACGUCCGUCGUGAAGAGGGAAACAACCCAGACCGCCAGCUAAGGUCCCAAAGUCAUGGUUAAGUGGGAAACGAUGUGGGAAGGCCCAGACAGCCAGGAUGUUGGCUUAGAAGCAGCCAUCAUUUAAAGAAAGCGUAAUAGCUCACUGGUCGAGUCGGCCUGCGCGGAAGAUGUAACGGGGCUAAACCAUGCACCGAAGCUGCGGCAGCGACACUGUGUGUUGUUGGGUAGGGGAGCGUUCUGUAAGCCUGUGAAGGUGGCCUGUGAGGGUUGCUGGAGGUAUCAGAAGUGCGAAUGCUGACAUAAGUAACGAUAAAGCGGGUGAAAAGCCCGCUCGCCGGAAGACCAAGGGUUCCUGUCCAACGUUAAUCGGGGCAGGGUGAGUCGACCCCUAAGGCGAGGCCGAAAGGCGUAGUCGAUGGGAAACAGGUUAAUAUUCCUGUACUUGGUGUUACUGCGAAGGGGGGACGGAGAAGGCUAUGUUGGCCGGGCGACGGUUGUCCCGGUUUAAGCGUGUAGGCUGGUUUUCCAGGCAAAUCCGGAAAACCAAGGCUGAGGCGUGAUGACGAGGCACUACGGUGCUGAAGCGACAAAUGCCCUGCUUCCAGGAAAAGCCUCUAAGCAUCAGGUAACAUCAAAUCGUACCCCAAACCGACACAGGUGGUCAGGUAGAGAAUACCAAGGCGCUUGAGAGAACUCGGGUGAAGGAACUAGGCAAAAUGGUGCCGUAACUUCGGGAGAAGGCACGCUGAUAUGUAGGUGAAGCGACUUGCUCGUGGAGCUGAAAUCAGUCGAAGAUACCAGCUGGCUGCAACUGUUUAUUAAAAACACAGCACUGUGCAAACACGAAAGUGGACGUAUACGGUGUGACGCCUGCCCGGUGCCGGAAGGUUAAUUGAUGGGGUUAGCGGUAACGCGAAGCUCUUGAUCGAAGCCCCGGUAAACGGCGGCCGUAACUAUAACGGUCCUAAGGUAGCGAAAUUCCUUGUCGGGUAAGUUCCGACCUGCACGAAUGGCGUAAUGAUGGCCAGGCUGUCUCCACCCGAGACUCAGUGAAAUUGAACUCGCUGUGAAGAUGCAGUGUACCCGCGGCAAGACGGAAAGACCCCGUGAACCUUUACUAUAGCUUGACACUGAACAUUGAGCCUUGAUGUGUAGGAUAGGUGGGAGGCUUUGAAGUGUGGACGCCAGUCUGCAUGGAGCCGACCUUGAAAUACCACCCUUUAAUGUUUGAUGUUCUAACGUUGGCCCGUAAUCCGGGUUGCGGACAGUGUCUGGUGGGUAGUUUGACUGGGGCGGUCUCCUCCUAAAGAGUAACGGAGGAGCACGAAGGUUGGCUAAUCCUGGUCGGACAUCAGGAGGUUAGUGCAAUGGCAUAAGCCAGCUUGACUGCGAGCGUGACGGCGCGAGCAGGUGCGAAAGCAGGUCAUAGUGAUCCGGUGGUUCUGAAUGGAAGGGCCAUCGCUCAACGGAUAAAAGGUACUCCGGGGAUAACAGGCUGAUACCGCCCAAGAGUUCAUAUCGACGGCGGUGUUUGGCACCUCGAUGUCGGCUCAUCACAUCCUGGGGCUGAAGUAGGUCCCAAGGGUAUGGCUGUUCGCCAUUUAAAGUGGUACGCGAGCUGGGUUUAGAACGUCGUGAGACAGUUCGGUCCCUAUCUGCCGUGGGCGCUGGAGAACUGAGGGGGGCUGCUCCUAGUACGAGAGGACCGGAGUGGACGCAUCACUGGUGUUCGGGUUGUCAUGCCAAUGGCACUGCCCGGUAGCUAAAUGCGGAAGAGAUAAGUGCUGAAAGCAUCUAAGCACGAAACUUGCCCCGAGAUGAGUUCU